UAGAACGACCAUACCACGUUAGGAACACCGGUUCUCGUUCGAUCACCGAAGUUAAACAACGCUGGACCCGAUUAGUACUUGCAUGAUUAACUGGCUGGGAAUAUCGGGUGUCACAGAGU
This is a non-coding RNA of Schistosoma rodhaini, 119 nucleotides long. Lineage: Eukaryota; Metazoa; Platyhelminthes; Trematoda; Strigeidida; Schistosomatidae. The record is from Rfam.